Molecule: ribosomal RNA, 139 nt
Filed under: uncultured bacterium
Lineage: Bacteria
Description: partial 16S ribosomal RNA
Rfam family: Bacterial small subunit ribosomal RNA
Source: RNAcentral
UGGGGAAUAUUGCACAAUGGGGGAAACCCUGAUGCAGCGACGCCGCGUGGAGGAAGAAGGUCUUCGGAUUGUAAACUCCUGUCCCAGGGGACGAUAAUGACGGUACCCUGGGAGGAAGCCACCGGCUAACUACGUGCCA